This 490-nucleotide ribosomal RNA is filed under the name uncultured bacterium. RNAcentral describes it as "partial 16S ribosomal RNA". It matches the Rfam family "Bacterial small subunit ribosomal RNA", at positions 30 to 507 of the family's 1533-position model. The record is from RNAcentral.
AUUGAACGCUGGCGGCAUGCCUUACACAUGCAAGUCGAACGGCAGCAUGAUCUAGCUUGCUAGAUUGAUGGCGAGUGGCGAACGGGUGAGUAAUACAUCGGAACGUGCCCUGUAGUGGGGGAUAACUAGUCGAAAGAUUAGCUAAUACCGCAUACGACCUGAGGGUGAAAGUGGGGGACCGCAAGGCCUCAUGCUAUAGGAGCGGCCGAUGUCUGAUUAGCUAGUUGGUGAGGUAAAGGCUCACCAAGGCGACGAUCGGUAGCUGGUCUGAGAGGACGAUCAGCCACACUGGGACUGAGACACGGCCCAGACUCCUACGGGAGGCAGCAGUGGGGAAUUUUGGACAAUGGGCGAAAGCCUGAUCCAGCAAUGCCGCGUGUGUGAAGAAGGCCUUCGGGUUGUAAAGCACUUUUGUCCGGAAAGAAAUGGCUCUGGUUAAUACCUGGGGUCGAUGACGGUACCGGAAGAAUAAGGACCGGCUAACUACGUG